RNAcentral lists this ribosomal RNA (230 nucleotides) under uncultured bacterium. Its description in RNAcentral is "partial 16S ribosomal RNA". It matches the Rfam family "Bacterial small subunit ribosomal RNA", at positions 109 to 339 of the family's 1533-position model. The record is from RNAcentral.
CGUAACGCGUAUGCAACCUGCCCUUUACUGGAGAAUAGCCCAGAGAAAUUUGGAUUAAUACUCCAUAGUAUUACAGAUUCGCAUGUUUCUGUAAUUAAAGUUCCAACGGUAAAGGAUGGGCAUGCGUGACAUUAGUUUGUUGGUGAGGUAACGGCUCACCAAGACUACGAUGUCUAGGGGUUCUGAGAGGAUGAUCCCCCACACUGGUACUGAGACACGGACCAGACUCC